UUGUGGAGGUUGAAUGCAAAGCAGGGUGGAAAGUGAUCAAGGCCUAUGGUGAAACUAAGAGCAAUGGAAAGUACAGUAUCACAGUUAAGGAUUUUGACUAUGUCAAGUAUGGACCCACAGUGUGCAAGGCCAAGCUUUAUGCUCCACCUAAACACUCCCCCUUCAACACACCUACUAAAUUCAACGAAGUAACCAAGUUGAAGGUGAAAUCUAAGGACAAGUAUGAAGUGGUGCUUAAGGCUAAGCCAUUUGCUUAUGCUUCAAAGAAGUAUUUUAAAGAAUGUGAAAAGCCUUCACCCACUCCUUACUACUACAAAUCACCUCCUCUUCCAACUCCCGUUUACAAAUACAACUCUCCACCUCCACCAUCACCAAAACCUACACCAUCAUACUACUAUAAAUCACCACCCCCACCUUCACCAUCCCCUCCUCCUCCAUACUAUUACAAGUCACCUCCACCACCAUCUCCAUCACCCCCACCUCCUUAUUAUUACAAAUCCCCACCACCACCAUCUCCAUCACCACCUCCUUACUAUUACAAAUCCCCUCCACCACCAUCCCCAUCACCACCACCUCCAUACUACUACAANCCUCCACCACCAUCCCCAUCACCACCACCUCCAUACUACUACAAAUCACCACCACCACCAUCUCCAUCACCACCACCUCCCUAUUACUAUAAAUCACCCCCACCACCAUCUCCAUCACCGCCACCUCCUUACUAUUACAAAUCCCCACCACCACCAUCCCCCUCACCACCACCUCCAUAUUACUAUAAAUCACCUCCACCACCAUCUCCUUCACCACCACCUCCAUACUACUACAAAUCCCCGCCACCACCAUCCCCAUCACCACCACCUCCAUACUACUACAAAUCCCCUCCACCUCCCUCUCCAUCUCCACCACCUCCCUAUUACUAUAAAUCACCUCCGCCACCAUCUCCAUCACCACCACCUCCUUACUAUUACAAAUCCCCUCCCCCACCAUCCCCGUCUCCACCCCCUCCUUAUUACUAUCAAAGUCCUCCUCCACCAGUAAAGUCACCUCCACCUCCAGCUUACACCUAUGCUUCCCCACCUCCACCUAUCUACAAAUAAGCUGCGAAUGCGAAAGCACCACUCAUGAUAAAUCACGUAAGUUUACGUUCCUUU
Molecule: long non-coding RNA, 1151 nt
Filed under: Vigna radiata
Lineage: Eukaryota; Viridiplantae; Streptophyta; Magnoliopsida; Fabales; Fabaceae
Description: long non-coding RNA (VRAD_LNC009244)
Source: RNAcentral